RNAcentral lists this ribosomal RNA (478 nucleotides) under uncultured bacterium. Its description in RNAcentral is "SSU rRNA". It matches the Rfam family "Bacterial small subunit ribosomal RNA", at positions 26 to 523 of the family's 1533-position model. The record is from RNAcentral.
AGGAUGAACGCUGGCGGCGUGCCUAACACAUGCAAGUCGAACGUCCUUCUUCUUCGGAAGAAGGGAGUGGCGGACGGGUGAGUACCACGUGGGUUAUCUACCGUGAGGUGAGGAAUACCGGCGAGAAAUCGCCGACAAGACCGCAUAGGCUCGAUGCAAGUCGAGCAAAGCUCGCUCGCAAGAGGGAGCGCCACACGAGGAGCCUGCGCCCGAUUAGCUGGCUGGUGGAGUAAUGGUUCACCAGGGCGACGAUCGGUAGCUGGUCUGAGAGGACGAUCAGCCACACUGGGAUUGAGAACGGCCCAGACUCCUACGGGGGGCAGCAGUGAGGAAUUUUCGUCAAUGGGGGCAACCCUGAACGAGCAACGCCGCGUGCAGGAAGAAGGUUUUCGGAUCGUAAACUGCUUUUCUCGGGGAAGAGAACGGACGGUACCCGAGGAAGAAGCCCCGGCUAACUACGUGCCAGCAGCCGCGGUAA